CCUUAAAGAAGUGUUCUUUGCAGUGCUCACACAGAUUGUGUGAUGAAAAACGAGCAGUAAAACCUUCACAGGCUUGUAGCUCANGUGGGUAGAGCGCACCCCUGAUAAGGGUGAGGUCGGUGGUUCAAGUCCACUCAGGCCUACCAAAUUCGCUCUCGUGCUUUGUUGUGGCAAAGNUANCAUACUUCAUUNUGUUUCGUUUCACCACCCCGNNCCCGGAAANGAAUCAANNGUNAAAGGUUCUGACUACACGAUGGGGCUAUA
Molecule: unclassified non-coding RNA, 264 nt
Filed under: Salmonella enterica subsp. enterica serovar Agona
Lineage: Bacteria; Pseudomonadati; Pseudomonadota; Gammaproteobacteria; Enterobacterales; Enterobacteriaceae
Description: partial 16S-23S ribosomal RNA intergenic spacer
Rfam family: tRNA (bases 70-143)
Source: RNAcentral